Molecule: unclassified non-coding RNA, 950 nt
Filed under: Hevea brasiliensis (rubber tree)
Lineage: Eukaryota; Viridiplantae; Streptophyta; Magnoliopsida; Malpighiales; Euphorbiaceae
Source: RNAcentral
UACUUUUGCCCGUUUUGUGACAAAAAAAAAUUUUUGUUUUACCUUUGCAUAUUUGGUCUAUCUUGGAUUGAUUUAGAAUGAAAAUGAUAAUAUAGUAUAAUACAACUGUUUGAGGUAUGGUAAUUAUUAAUGGGCAUUUAUUUAUUUAUUUUUGUCUUAUGUAUAAGGUUAUGUGGCUUUUGGGUGUUAUUGUCACUGGUGUAUGCAUUCCACGUGUGCUGCGCGUGUAUGUUCCCUACUUGAUAAGAAUCUUUAUUAUAUAUUGACUAUGGAGAAGAAAAAUAUCAACUACAAAAAAAAAACGUUGUUUGGAUAUUCUUUAUGGGGGUAAAAAUAUUCUAUAUUUAGAUCUUCGUGCAAUGUCGGGAAUACUGCUAGCUGGUUUAUUUUAUUUAUAUAUUUGCUUCUGGUCUUGUUUUGUAGUCAUUAAUAGGAGUUAUUAUUUUGUCUUGUUCAAAUUAUUUUUACUAGCAGUUUUGAUAUAAGUGGUGUAAUAUUGUUACCACAAUAUGCAUAUGAGGACUACUAGUAGUAGUUAGGAUGUAAAACUAGUUAUCUGAAGUCAUCUUUUGACGUCCAAAAAAGAGAAAUAAAUGAUGUGCAUGCUAAAUAUGUGCAUUAUUUUUCUCUAAUGCCAUCUGGACUAGAUGUACUCAUCUUGUCACUGCAUACUAUGGUACAUAGUACAUAAGUAUGUUCUUCUUUUAUGUGCAUGGACAAAUUGGUUAGAGAAAUAUACAUUAUUAUUAUUGCGGAGUUAAAUUAGAAAAAAGAAGGGCUGGUAUGGGGAAGAUAAACUAGAAUGAGGUCUGCCAUAUAGUGUUAGCAUUAUCUGUAAGGAGAUGUGUAAUUCCUUUUUGAAUGAAUGUGGCUUGCAGGAUGCUAAUAGUAAUAUUAAUUGCACACAGAUGAUAUGUUUAUAGAUAAGAAUAAGGUAUGUGGCUUCUUGA